RNAcentral lists this ribosomal RNA (433 nucleotides) under uncultured bacterium. RNAcentral's name for it is "partial 16S ribosomal RNA". It matches the Rfam family "Bacterial small subunit ribosomal RNA", at positions 29 to 507 of the family's 1533-position model. The record is from RNAcentral.
AACGAACGCUGGCGGCAUGCCUAACACAUGCAAGUCGAACGAGACCUUCGGGUCUAGUGGCGCACGGGUGCGUAACGCGUGGGAACCUGCCCUUAGGUUCGGAAUAACUCCCCGAAAGGGGUGCUAAUACCGGAUAAUGUCUUCGGACCAAAGAUUUAUCGCCUUUGGAUGGGCCCUCGUUGGAUUAGCUAGUUGGUAGGGUAAAAGCCUACCAAGGCGACGAUCCAUAGCUGGUCUGAGAGGAUGAUCAGCCACGCUGGGACUGAGACACGGCCCAGACUCCUACGGGAGGCAGCAGUGGGGAAGAUUGGACAAUGGGCGAAGGCCUGAUCCAGCAAUGCCGCGUGAGUGAUGAAGGCCUUAGGGUUGUAAAGCUCUUUUAGCCGGGAUGAUAAUGACAGUACCGGGAGAAUAAGCUCCGGCUAACUCCGUG